RNAcentral lists this ribosomal RNA (252 nucleotides) under uncultured bacterium. Its description in RNAcentral is "partial 16S ribosomal RNA". It matches the Rfam family "Bacterial small subunit ribosomal RNA", at positions 526 to 779 of the family's 1533-position model. The record is from RNAcentral.
CGUAGGGUGCAAGCGUUAAUCGGAAUUACUGGGCGUAAAGCGUGCGCAGGCGGUUUUGUAAGUCUGUUGUGAAAUCCCCGGGCUUAACCUGGGAAUGGCAAUGGAGACUGCAAGGCUAGAGUUUGGCAGAGGGGGUAGAAUUCCACGUGUAGCAGUGAAAUGCGUAGAGAUGUGGAGGAACACCGAUGGCGAAGGCAGCCCCCUGGGUCAAGACUGACGCUCAUGCACGAAAGCGUGGGAGCAAACAGGAUU